Molecule: non-coding RNA, 1035 nt
Organism: Lonchura striata (white-rumped munia)
Lineage: Eukaryota; Metazoa; Chordata; Aves; Passeriformes; Estrildidae
Source: RefSeq, a predicted model, not a curated record
CCGCCCACGGCCGCCUCGGCCGGGCGGCGAGCGGCGCUGCCUCCGAGGCCGCGGCGGCGGUCGGCGCCGCCCUCAGGUGGCGUGGACAUGUGGACGCGGUGCUGCUUCUGUGUCGCCUUCCUCGCAGAAUCGCGGAAUCGAUGGAGUUGCAAUGGCUGCCAUCCACCGAACAAGUCAAACAGCAAGGCCUUUCUAGAACAAACCUGUCACUGAACCCUGGAACGACUUUUUACCUGGACAAACUUGCUCUUGAAGAUGGGAGUAGAAGUAAAAAGAAUGUACUCUCCUUUGCUAAGAAGUCUCUGAAUGUCAUAUAUGAUGGGCAUCUGACUGCACUGCAUCUGUGUCCUCUGCUGUGUCUGCUAGUGAUGGACCUGGGAGAAGCCUGGGCCAGCAUCUCCAUGAAUACAUGAGGAUGGUAUUGGUUGUCUGGCAGUUCUCCAAAGCAAUGCAACAGCAAGCUGAAAUGAGCAUAGCUGAAGAGGCAGUCAGCAACAGCAAGAAAUCUAUCUGGCAAGAAACCACAAGAAAAGAUCAGGCACAAUAAGGAUACAGUCAAUGAUAUGUGGACAUGCAUCAAAGCUUCGCUCUUGCUGGUGACAUCAUAGCCUUCCAAUGACCAUGACAUCCACCACCUCCCCCUUGUGAAGCUCCACAUACUGCUCUGUCUUUGGAGGUAGCAUCAACAGUCCAUUGGCACUGCGCAUACUCAUCAGACGACUGCUCAUCUGAUUCCCUACAGGAGAGAGGCAGAACAAUUUCAGUGGAGUCUUCAGUUUGUUCCAAAUGCCGCAACAUGGUGCAACAAACAAAAGCUGUUAUGACGAAAAUGUUUAUGUGGCUAACUUAUUCAUGGAGCUGGGAUCUUGCUGUUCCAAGGUGGAUGGAAACAGAGAACUCUGUGGAGAUUUAGUCAGCCUCUCACUGCACUGGCUCUCAAAACCAUCACUCUCAUUGCUGAUGGCUUUCCUAUCCAGCCUUCCACAUUAUCUGUACCAUGUAUCUUGACCUAGUAAAUUGCUAAUACUAUCAAAA